AACGAACGCUGGCGGCAGGCUUAACACAUGCAAGUCGAGCGCCCCGCAAGGGGAGCGGCAGACGGGUGAGUAACGCGUGGGAACAUACCCUUUGGUUCGGAAUAACUCAGGGGAAACUUGAGCUAAUACCGGAUACGUCCGUAAGGAGAAAGAUUUAUCGCCAAAGGAUUGGCCCGCGUCCGAUUAGCUAGUUGGUGAGGUAACGGCUCACCAAGGCUACGAUCGGUAGCUGGUCUGAGAGGAUGAUCAGCCACAUUGGGACUGAGACACGGCCCAAACUCCUACGGGAGGCAGCAGUGGGGAAUAUUGGACAAUGGGCGCAAGCCUGAUCCAGCCAUGCCGCGUGAGUGAUGAAGGCCUUAGGGUUGUAAAGCUCUUUUGUCCGGGAAGAUAAUGACUGUACCGGAAGAAUAAGCCCCGGCUAACUUCGUGCCAGCAGCCGCGGUAAU
This 449-nucleotide ribosomal RNA is filed under the name uncultured bacterium. Its description in RNAcentral is "bacterial SSU rRNA". It matches the Rfam family "Bacterial small subunit ribosomal RNA", at positions 29 to 524 of the family's 1533-position model. The record is from RNAcentral.